Molecule: ribosomal RNA, 447 nt
Filed under: uncultured bacterium
Lineage: Bacteria
Description: bacterial SSU rRNA
Rfam family: Bacterial small subunit ribosomal RNA
Source: RNAcentral
UGGGGAAUAUUGCACAAUGGGCGAAAGCCUGAUGCAGCAAUGCCGCGUGUGUGAAGAAGGCCUGCGGGUUGUAAAGCACUUUCGGUAGGGAAGAUAAUGACGGUACCUACAGAAGAAGCACCGGCUAACUCCGUGCCAGCAGCCGCGGUAAUACGGAGGGUGCGAGCGUUAAUCGGAAUUACUGGGCGUAAAGCGCGCGUAGGCGGCUUUGUAAGUCGGAUGUGAAAGCCCCGGGCUUAACCUGGGAAUUGCAUUCGAUACUGCAUAGCUAGAGUAUGGUAGAGGGUAGCGGAAUUCCGGGUGUAGCGGUGAAAUGCGUAGAUAUCAGGAGGAACACCCAUGGCGAAGGCAGCACUCUGGGCUGGUAUUGACGCUGAGGAGCGAAAGCAUGGGUAGCGAACAGGAUUAGAUACCCAAGUAGUCCCUGAGCGGGCUGGCAAGGCGCAU